Molecule: ribosomal RNA, 245 nt
Filed under: uncultured bacterium
Lineage: Bacteria
Description: partial 16S ribosomal RNA
Rfam family: Bacterial small subunit ribosomal RNA
Source: RNAcentral
GAAGGUCCGGGCGUUAUCCGGAUUUACUGGGUGUAAAGGGAGCGUAGACGGCUCUGUAAGUCUGGAGUGAAAGCCCGGGGCCCAACCCCGGGACUGCUCUGGAAACUGUGGAGCUGGAGUACAGGAGGGGCAGGCGGAAUUCCUGGUGUAGCGGUGAAAUGCGUAGAUAUCAGGAGGAACACCGGCGGCGAAGGCGGCCUGCUGGACUGCAACUGACGUUGAGGCUCGAAAGCGUGGGGAGCAAA